CGGACGGGCGAGUAAUGUCUGGGAAACUGCCUGAUGGAGGGGGGUAACUACUGGAAACGGUAGCUAAUACCGCAUAACGUCGCAAGACCAAAGAGGGGGACCUUAGGGCCUCUUGCCAUCGGACGUGCCCAGAUGGGAUUAGCUAGUAGGUGGGGUAACGGCUCACCUAGGCGACGAUCCCUAGCUGGUCUGAGAGGAUGACCAGCCACACUGGAACUGAGACACGGUCCAG
RNAcentral lists this ribosomal RNA (232 nucleotides) under uncultured bacterium. RNAcentral's name for it is "partial 16S ribosomal RNA". It matches the Rfam family "Bacterial small subunit ribosomal RNA", at positions 99 to 334 of the family's 1533-position model. The record is from RNAcentral.